Molecule: ribosomal RNA, 334 nt
Filed under: uncultured eukaryote
Lineage: Eukaryota
Description: partial 18S ribosomal RNA
Rfam family: Eukaryotic small subunit ribosomal RNA
Source: RNAcentral
CCCUUAGAUGUCCGGGGCCGCACGCGCGCUACACUGAAGGAAUCAGCGUGGCUUUCUCCCUGACCCGAAAGGGUUGGGAAACCCGUUGAAUCUCCUUCGUGAUAGGGAUUGGGGCUUAAAAUUGUUCCCCAUGAACGAGGAAUUCCCAGUAAGCGCGAGUCAUAAGCUCGCGUUGAUUACGUCCCUGCCCUUUGUACACACCGCCCGUCGCUACUACCGAUUGAACGGUUUAGUGAGGGCCUCGGAUUGGUCUCGGCCCGCUCUUUACCGGGCGGCGCCGUUGGUCGAGAAGACGCUCGAACUUGAUCGUUUAGAGGAAGUAAAAGUCGUAACA